RNAcentral lists this unclassified non-coding RNA (213 nucleotides) under Glomeraceae sp. RNAcentral describes it as "partial contains 5.8S ribosomal RNA and internal transcribed spacer 2". The stretch from base 1 to 71 matches the Rfam family "5.8S ribosomal RNA", at positions 84 to 154 of the family's 154-position model. The record is from RNAcentral. Lineage: Eukaryota; Fungi; Glomeromycota; Glomeromycetes; Glomerales; Glomeraceae.
GUGAAUCAUCAAAUUUUUGAACGCAAAUUGCACUCUCUGGUAUUCCGGAGAGUAUGCCUGUUUGAGGGUCAGUUUAAAUAAAAAUCGGUGUGGUUGCUGCCUUUCGUGGUGACUCAGCGGAUUUGGGUUGUCUUGCCUUCGGUUAAGUGACUUAAAAUUUUGCAUGUUUUUUGUGAACGUACUUAAAUGAUUUUACUUUCGUUUGCGGUUGCG